AUCACCCAGUGAUCUUGUUAAAAUGCAAAUUCUUAUUCAAGAGUUCUGGGAAAGCCUGAGAUUCUGCAUUUCUAGCAAGCUCCCAGGGAAUGCCAA
Molecule: microRNA precursor, 96 nt
Filed under: Papio anubis (olive baboon)
Lineage: Eukaryota; Metazoa; Chordata; Mammalia; Primates; Cercopithecidae
Description: mir-544 microRNA precursor family
Rfam family: mir-544 microRNA precursor family
Source: Rfam by way of RNAcentral